GAGGGGUGCAAACGUUAUUCGUAUUAACUGGGCGUAAAGAGUGUGUAGACGGAACAUUAAGUUCGCUGUUAAAUCUUUCGGCUUAACCGAAAGCUUGCGGUGAAAACUAAUGAUCUUGAGGGUGAAAGAGAGAAGUGGAAUUCUCGGAGUAGCGGUAAAAUGCGUAGAUCUCGAGAGGAACACCGAUGGCGAAGGCAGCUUCUUGGUUCACUUCUGACGUUGAGACACGAAAGCGUGGGUAGCAAACAGGAUUAGAUACCCUGGUAGUCCACGCCGUAAACGAUGAUCACUGGAUGUCAGCUUUGCUUAGCAGGGUUGGUAUCGAAGCUAACGCGUUAAGUGAUCCGCCUGGGAAUUACGGUCGCAAGAUUA
This 372-nucleotide ribosomal RNA is filed under the name uncultured organism. RNAcentral's name for it is "partial 16S ribosomal RNA". It matches the Rfam family "Bacterial small subunit ribosomal RNA", at positions 527 to 896 of the family's 1533-position model. The record is from RNAcentral.